AGAGUUUGAUCAUGGCUCAGGAUGAACGCUAGCGACAGGCCUAACACAUGCAAGUCGAGGGGCAGCGAAGAGGUAGCAAUACCUUGUCGGCGACCGGCGCACGGGUGAGUAACACGUAUGCAAUCCACCUGUAACAGGGGGAUAACCCGGAGAAAUCCGGACUAAUACCCCAUAAUAUGGGCGCUCCGCAUGGAGAGCCCAAUUAAAGAGUAAGCUAAUUUUGGUUACAGACGAGCGAUGCGCUCCAUUAGCCAGUUGGCGGGGUAACGGCCCACCAAAGCGACGAUGGAUAGGGGUUCUGAGAGGAAGGUCCCCCACAUUGGAACUGAGACACGGUCCAAACUCCUACGGGAGGCAGCA
This 360-nucleotide ribosomal RNA is filed under the name uncultured bacterium. RNAcentral describes it as "bacterial SSU rRNA". It matches the Rfam family "Bacterial small subunit ribosomal RNA", at positions 8 to 353 of the family's 1533-position model. The record is from RNAcentral.